CCUACGGGUGGCAGCAGUGGGGAAUAUUGCACAAUGGGGGAAACACUGAUGCAGCGACGCCGCGUGAGUGAAGAAGUAUUUCGGUACGUAAAGCUCUAUCAGCAGGGAAGAAAAUGACGGUACCUGACUAAGAAGCCCCGUCUAACUACGUGCCAGCAGCCGCGGUAAUCCGUAGGGGGCAAGCGUUAUCCGGAUGUACUGGGUGUAAAGGGAGCGUAGACCGCAGCGCAAGUCUUGAGUGAAAUACCAUGGCUUAACCAUGGAACUGCUUUGGAAACUGUGCAGCUAGAGUGCAGGUGAGGUAAGCGGAAGUCCUAGUGUAGCGGUGAAAUGCGGAGAUAUUAGGAGGAACACCAGUUGCGAAGGCGGCUUACUGGACUGUAACUGACGUUGAGGCUCGAAAGCGUGGGGAGCAAACAGGAUUAGAUACCCUUGUAGUC
This 440-nucleotide ribosomal RNA is filed under the name uncultured bacterium. Its description in RNAcentral is "partial 16S ribosomal RNA". It matches the Rfam family "Bacterial small subunit ribosomal RNA", at positions 338 to 795 of the family's 1533-position model. The record is from RNAcentral.